GCUGGAGUAGCUCAGUCGGUUAGAGCGUAUGGCUGUUAACCAUAAGGUCAGAGGUUCAACCCCUCUCUCUAGCG
Molecule: transfer RNA, 74 nt
Filed under: Gossypium hirsutum (cotton)
Lineage: Eukaryota; Viridiplantae; Streptophyta; Magnoliopsida; Malvales; Malvaceae
Also listed under: 1 other name
Rfam family: tRNA
About the family: Transfer RNA (tRNA) molecules are approximately 80 nucleotides in length. Their secondary structure includes four short double-helical elements and three loops (D, anti-codon, and T loops). Further hydrogen bonds mediate the characteristic L-shaped molecular structure. tRNAs have two regions of fundamental functional importance: the anti-codon, which is responsible for specific mRNA codon recognition, and the 3' end, to which the tRNAs corresponding amino acid is attached (by aminoacyl-tRNA synthetases). tRNAs cope with the degeneracy of the genetic code in two manners: having more than one tRNA (with a specific anti-codon) for a particular amino acid; and 'wobble' base-pairing, i.e. permitting non-standard base-pairing at the 3rd anti-codon position.
Source: Rfam by way of RNAcentral